UUGGGUUUUAACUUAAAAAGAACCGUUCAAUUCGAUUGAUUUCAGUUCGAUUUGUGAGUUUUGUUCAGCCCUAUCGAAAACUGGAUCUAUCGAAAACUGGAUCCAAUUGAUAAUUUAGAUUUUAUGGUUGUUCAUUGUCUUUUUAAACUGAUAGCGUAUGGAAUGGCAUCGUCACCGUCAAAUUCUCUCAUGUCCCGGCCUCUUUGGGUAAAGAGUAAAUCUGGCACGGUGUAAUUCUUGUUAGAAAUUGCAAAUUUUGAUUACCAGAUACUAGAUCCACAGGUUACUGUUUCGCCUCAUGUUCUCACCCGUAACAUAAUAUAGAGCAAUAAUAGCUGAGUUUUAUUUUGAAACAGUUGCAUCUUUAUCAUUAGUCCUUUAAAAUGUUUCUUAAUUGUCUUUAUAUUUGUAUAUAGACCUUCUUGUUCUACAUUCCUGCACGUUUGCAAGAUGCUAUUUUGACUUUGAGUUCUUUUUGUCAGAGUUUCACAGAAUGGGAGUAUCUGUUUCUGGGACUUGUUUUGGCACUCCC
This 532-nucleotide long non-coding RNA is filed under the name Olea europaea subsp. europaea. The record is from RNAcentral. Lineage: Eukaryota; Viridiplantae; Streptophyta; Magnoliopsida; Lamiales; Oleaceae.